RNAcentral lists this ribosomal RNA (245 nucleotides) under uncultured bacterium. Its description in RNAcentral is "partial 16S ribosomal RNA". It matches the Rfam family "Bacterial small subunit ribosomal RNA", at positions 88 to 334 of the family's 1533-position model. The record is from RNAcentral.
CUGGCGACCGGCGCACGGGUGAGUAACACGCAUCCAACCUGCCGAUAACUCGGGGAUAGCCUUUCGAAAGAAAGAUUAAUACCCGAUGGUAUAAUCAGACCGCAUGGUCUUGUUAUUAAAGAAUUUCGGUUAUCGAUGGGGAUGCGUUCCAUUAGGCAGUUGGUGAGGUAACGGCUCACCAAACCUUCGAUGGAUAGGGGUUCUGAGAGGAAGGUCCCCCACAUUGGAACUGAGACACGGUCCAA